ACGCGUGAGUAACCUGCCUUCAANAGGGGGAUAACAUUCUGAAAAGAAUGCUAAUACCGCAUGACAUAUCGGAACCACAUGGUUUUGAUAUCAAAGAUUUAUCGCUUGAAGAUGGACUCGCGUCCGAUUAGUUAGUUGGUGAGGUAACGGCUCACCAAGACCGCGAUCGGUAGCCGGACUGAGAGGUUGAACGGCCACAUUGGGACUGAGACACGGCCCAGACUCCUACGGGAGGCAGCAUG
RNAcentral lists this ribosomal RNA (242 nucleotides) under uncultured bacterium. RNAcentral describes it as "partial 16S ribosomal RNA". It matches the Rfam family "Bacterial small subunit ribosomal RNA", at positions 113 to 353 of the family's 1533-position model. The record is from RNAcentral.